GUAAAGGGCGCGCAGGCGGUACCUUAAGUCUGAUGUGAAAGGCCACGGCUCAACCGUGGGAUGGCAUUGGAAACUGGGGUACUUGAGUGCAGGAGAGGAGAGCGGAACUCCCGGUGUAGCGGUGAAAUGCGUAGAGAUCGGGAAGAACACCAGUGGCGAAGGCGGCUCUCUGGCCUGUAACUGACGCUGAGGCGCGAAAGCGUGGGUAGCGAACAGGAUUAGAUACCCUGGUAGUCCACGCCGUAAACGCUGAGUGCUAGGUGUUAGGGGUUUCAAUACCCUUAGUGCCGGAGUUAACACAAUAAGCACUCCGCCUGGGGAGUACGGCCGCAAGGCUGAAACUCAAAGGAAUUGACGGGGGCCCGCACAAGCGGUGGAGCAUGUGGUUUACUUCGAAGCAACGCGAAGCACCUUACCAGGGCUUGACAUCCUCUGACCACCUUGGAGACAAGGUUUUCCCAUUUGGGACAGAGUGACAGGUGGUGCAUGGUUGUCGUCAGCUCGUGUCGUGAGAUGUUGGGUUAAGUCCCGCAACGAGCGCAACCCUUGAACUUAGUUGCCAGCAUUGGGUUGGGCACUCUAAGUUGACUGCCGGUGACAAGCCGGAGGAAGGCGGGGAUGACGUCAAAUCAUCAUGCCCCUUAUGUCCUGGGCGACACACGUGCUACAAUGGCUGGUACAACGGGCAGCGAAGCGGCGACGCGGAGCCAAUCCUAGAAAGCCAGUCUCAGUUCGGAUCGCAGUCUGCAACUCGACUGCGUGAAGCAGGAAUCGCUAGUAAUCGCGGAUCAGCAUGC
Molecule: ribosomal RNA, 797 nt
Filed under: uncultured Bacillota bacterium
Lineage: Bacteria; Bacillati; Bacillota
Description: bacterial SSU rRNA
Rfam family: Bacterial small subunit ribosomal RNA
Source: RNAcentral